GACGAAGGUGGCAAGCGUUACUCGGAAUUACUAGGCGUAAAGCGCGAGCAGGCGGUUCGGCAAGUCUGUUGUGAAAGCCCCGGGCUCAACCCGGGGAGGUCAAUGGAAACUGCCGGACUUGAAUACGGGAGAGGUCACUGGAAUUCCUGGUGUAGCGGUGAAAUGCGUAGAUAUCAGGAGGAACACCGAAGGCGAAAGCAGGUGACUGGACCGUUAUUGACGCUGAGGCGCGAAAGCCAGGGGAGCAAACGGG
This 253-nucleotide ribosomal RNA is filed under the name uncultured bacterium. RNAcentral describes it as "partial 16S ribosomal RNA". It matches the Rfam family "Bacterial small subunit ribosomal RNA", at positions 524 to 776 of the family's 1533-position model. The record is from RNAcentral.